This 543-nucleotide ribosomal RNA is filed under the name Botryosphaeria dothidea. RNAcentral's name for it is "eukaryotic LSU rRNA". The stretch from base 210 to 363 matches the Rfam family "5.8S ribosomal RNA". The record is from RNAcentral. Lineage: Eukaryota; Fungi; Ascomycota; Dothideomycetes; Botryosphaeriales; Botryosphaeriaceae.
UUCCGUAGGUGAACCUGCGGAAGGAUCAUUACCGAGUUGAUUCGGGCUCCGGCCCGAUCCUCCCACCCUUUGUGUACCUACCUCUGUUGCUUUGGCGGGCCGCGGUCCUCCGCGGCUGCCCCCUCCCCGGGGGGUGGCCAGCGCCCGCCAGAGGACCAUCAAACUCCAGUCAGUAAACGAUGCAGUCUGAAAAACAUUCAAUAAACUAAAACUUUCAACAACGGAUCUCUUGGUUCUGGCAUCGAUGAAGAACGCAGCGAAAUGCGAUAAGUAAUGUGAAUUGCAGAAUUCAGUGAAUCAUCGAAUCUUUGAACGCACAUUGCGCCCUUUGGUAUUCCGAAGGGCAUGCCUGUUCGAGCGUCAUUACAACCCUCAAGCUCUGCUUGGUAUUGGGCACCGUCCUUUGCGGGCGCGCCUCAAAGACCUCGGCGGUGGCGUCUUGCCUCAAGCGUAGUAGAACAUACAUCUCGCUUCGGAGCGCGAGGGCGUCGCCCGCCGGACGAACCUUCUGAACUUUCUCAAGGUGACCUCGGAUCAGUUAGA